RNAcentral lists this ribosomal RNA (443 nucleotides) under uncultured bacterium. Its description in RNAcentral is "partial 16S ribosomal RNA". It matches the Rfam family "Bacterial small subunit ribosomal RNA", at positions 338 to 795 of the family's 1533-position model. The record is from RNAcentral.
CCUACGGGUGGCUGCAGUGGGGAAUAUUGGGCAAUGGGCGCAAGCCUGACCCAGCAACGCCGCGUGAAGGAAGAAGGCUUUCGGGUCGUAAACUUCUAUUCUCAGGGACGAAGCAAGUGACGGUACCUGAGUAAGAAGCCACGGCUAACUACGUGCCAGCAGCCGCGGUAAUACGGAGGAGCCAAGCGUUAUCCGGAUUUACUGGGUUUAAAGGGUGCGUAGGUGGGAUGUUAAGUCAGAUGUGAAAGUUUGGGGCUUAACCGGAGGAUUGCAAUUGAUACUAGCAGGCUUGAGUACAGUUGAGGAAAGCGGAAUUCGUGGUGUAGCGGUGAAAUGCGUAGAUAUCAGGAAGAACUCCGGUGGCGAAGGCGGCUUUCUGGACUGCAACUGACGCUGAGGCUCGAAAGUGUGGGGAGCAAACAGGAUUAGAUACCCCAGUAGUC